GGGAAUGGAAUCAAAAUGAUUGUGGAGACACAGGAUCAUUCUGAACCAAAGUACUACAACUUGAACAAAGAAAAUACAAAUGCUUGCCUGGCUACAGAGUUCAGCUCCCACAGUGCUACAAAUAAAACAGGGUUACCAUGGCGAGAGGCCAGCAGAGUGAAGGGCGAUUCCUACUACAGCCAGGUAGCGCUAAUCAACAACAAUGAAACAUGCGAAAAUGGAAGUCCAUCAAAGAAUGGAGACAACUGGCCAUUAAAAACAGAUCGAAAGACUAACUUCCUAUCCCUGACCAUUCUGGGCCUGCGAAUUCUGUUCCUGAAGACCAUCAUAUUCAAUGUGCUGAUGACUCUACGGGUGUGGAUGAGUUAGAAAGAUGCCCAUCAGUCUUUCAGAAGACAACAUCAGCAGUCUACCAGAACAACUACAGACUUUUGACCACUUACAUCAUGCAAAAGUUAAAACUAUAUUGGUGAAUUGUAAAUACUUGUGUCAGUUGCAUUGCAAUUACAUUCUAGAUGUAAAGAUUUUACUAAUUGGAAUGUAUUGAUUGUUUAGAAUGUCAAAUACUCACAGUAAAACACAGUAUAUUACUUUACACAGUAUAUUACUUUAGUACUUCAAGACAAGAAAUUUAUAAAAAUUUGCUUUACUUGAAUAUUUUGCAUUUGUUCUCUGAAACUGUUUUAAGUUGUUUUACUAGGCCUACAUAGAACUGUUUUUGAUUCUGCUCUAUACCUCUGCCUGAGUCAUGAUGAAAGCCGAUAUCUAUUAUUCUUUAUAGUGUAUACAUUUUCCAUACUAAAAAUGUACUGUUUAGCGAAACAUUGCAGAACUAAAUUAGAAAUACUUCCUGUUUGUGUUCUGAAAAAAAAAGAAAUAUACUUGUAAAAUGUUCUGUUUUUAUGAAAAUAUUUAUUAUAUGGAGUUUGCCCGUAAGUCUUAAUAAUAUUACAAAUUAUUAUGAAUUAUAAAUUGUUAUAAUUUCACCAAAAUAGUAAUUUACUUAAUUCGUCCUAUCAUAAUAAGUAUAUAUCCUAAUUCCAGAUGAACAGGCAACAUUGUCUGAAUAUGUAAAGGGUUUUAUAAAUAAGUGUCAUGUAAAGUUUUGGAUAUAUAUAAAUGCAGGUCUGACUAUUACUAUGUAUAUACUGUACCUAACAUAUACUUUAUAAUACAAUUGUGGAGUGUCAUUUUAAAAUAAAACUUUCUAUAAACAU
Molecule: non-coding RNA, 1217 nt
Organism: Esox lucius (northern pike)
Lineage: Eukaryota; Metazoa; Chordata; Actinopteri; Esociformes; Esocidae
Source: the annotation of a RefSeq genome assembly